RNAcentral lists this long non-coding RNA (201 nucleotides) under Mytilus galloprovincialis (Mediterranean mussel). The record is from RNAcentral. Lineage: Eukaryota; Metazoa; Mollusca; Bivalvia; Mytilida; Mytilidae.
UUCUUCUUUUUUGUUUUGUUUUAUUAUGGAUCAAACCAAGGAGGUUAAACGAUCUCUUAAAUCAAAAAGAAAUCCACGAAUUACGUAUCUAUUUUUUGUUGUUGUAAUCAGCGAUCCACGAAUUUACGUUUACCACGAAACGUCUUUUUUUUCUCUAUCCACGAAAAUUGAUACCCACGAAAAUAAAUGAAUCCACAGUAU